AAAGAGAUGGAUUCUUCUCUGGGCUUAGUGACUAUGAUACUCUUCCUAUGUGGACAAACACGUGGAGACUCAGUGACCCAGAUGGAAGGCCAAGUGACUUUAUUAGAAGAGGCUUCCCUGACUAUCAACUGCACUUAUACAACCACAAGUUACCCUGUACUCUACUGGUAUGUUCAAUAUCCUGGAGAAGGCCCACAGGUCCUCCUGAAAGCCCAGAGAGACAAAGAUAUUGGACGAGAGAAAGGUUUUGAAGCUACAUAUCUUAAAGACUCAAAUUCCUUCCACCUGGAGAAAGCGGCAGUGCAAGAGUCAGAUUCAGCUGUGUACUACUGUGCUACAAAAGAUGCUGAUCAAGGUGGUACCAGCUAUGGAAAGCUGACAUUUGGACAAGGCACCAUCUUGUCUGUCCAUCCAAUCAUCCCGGACCCUAAGCCUGCUGUGUACCAGUUGACAAAAUCCAAAUCCAGUGACAUGUCUGUCUGCCUCUUCACUGACUUCGAUUCUCAGACGAAUACUUCACAAGUCAAAAAGCCCACAGCAAUUGGUACCACCACAACUGUGCUGGAUAUGAGAAGCACAGGGUCCAAGAGCAAUGGCAUCCUAGCCUGGACAAGCAGCGGGGAUUCCAGUUGCAACGAGACCUUCUCUUUGGACGAGUCCUACUUCUUCAAUUCCUUUCAGACUUCCUGCAAUGCUGAGCUGGUAGAGAAAAACUUUCAAACAGACUGGGACAUGAACUUCCAGAACCUGUCCGUUAUGGCCUUGCGCAUCCUCUUCCUGAAACUUACGGGUUUCAACCUGCUGAUGACGCUGAGGCUCUGGUCCAGCUGAGACCACCAAGACUGUGAUGACUGUUCUCCCUGGUCCCUGCCUCCAUCUCUCCUACCCUCUUGCAGUCAAGAAGUCACCUCUCUGGACCACUGGCAAUGCCACCAACUGCAUCCAAUGACCAUCUGUUGUCAGAAUCUAAAGAGUGUGAAAGACGGCUGCCACCCCUCUGCUCCCUCAUUGCUGCUUGCCUCUGCCUGACAUUCCCAGCAAAGGGAGGCUGUGGUUGCCUCCCCUGGGCAGUGGAGAAUCUCCCUCUAUGCCUCCCACCCCAAGACCAUGAACUGAUAGUUCCCCAGUUUUCUCUCUUGGACUGGAGCACCUGGAGAAGAUUGUGGGGAGCUCAUAUUUUUUAAAUAAUGUUUAUAAAGAAAUGUCUAUCUUCCUUUUCCCCAAGAUGUGGAGGACUAAUCUUGUUACCUAGAUUCUGCUUUGCUCUGUAUCCAAGCCAUGUUGGAUAUACUGCCCACAACUUUAUUAAAAGCAAUUGAAAGAGCUGA
This is a non-coding RNA of Suncus etruscus (white-toothed pygmy shrew), 1328 nucleotides long. Lineage: Eukaryota; Metazoa; Chordata; Mammalia; Eulipotyphla; Soricidae. The record is from the annotation of a RefSeq genome assembly.